GCCUGGAUGGUGGAACUGGUAGACACCCGAGACUUAAAAUCUCGUGGGCUUCGGCCCGUGCGAGUUCGAUUCUCGCUCUAGGCACCA
This 87-nucleotide transfer RNA is filed under the name Desulfotalea psychrophila LSv54. RNAcentral's name for it is "tRNA-Leu (TAA) (tRNA-Leu-TAA-1-1)". It matches the Rfam family "tRNA". From Rfam's summary of the family: Transfer RNA (tRNA) molecules are approximately 80 nucleotides in length. Their secondary structure includes four short double-helical elements and three loops (D, anti-codon, and T loops). Further hydrogen bonds mediate the characteristic L-shaped molecular structure. tRNAs have two regions of fundamental functional importance: the anti-codon, which is responsible for specific mRNA codon recognition, and the 3' end, to which the tRNAs corresponding amino acid is attached (by aminoacyl-tRNA synthetases). tRNAs cope with the degeneracy of the genetic code in two manners: having more than one tRNA (with a specific anti-codon) for a particular amino acid; and 'wobble' base-pairing, i.e. permitting non-standard base-pairing at the 3rd anti-codon position. Lineage: Bacteria; Pseudomonadati; Thermodesulfobacteriota; Desulfobulbia; Desulfobulbales; Desulfocapsaceae. The record is from RNAcentral.